ACACUGCUGAAGAGUCCCACAAUAGGACGAAGCAGCCGUCCAGUGC
This 46-nucleotide non-coding RNA is filed under the name Schistosoma bovis. The record is from RNAcentral. RNAcentral also lists the same sequence under 1 other name. Lineage: Eukaryota; Metazoa; Platyhelminthes; Trematoda; Strigeidida; Schistosomatidae.